CAGGAAGGAGUGGGGAGGAGCCGGCGGUGAAGGCUCUCCAGGAUCCACGCGGUUUGUAGCGGCGUCUUCUCUGUCACCUCCAUGAAAGCACCUCAAAGCAGGUGUCACUCUCCUCUCAUGGCACAGAGAACACUAGGCACAGUCCUGCUCUGCAUCCGAGGUAGAUGCCAGCUGGACCUCCUGGCCCAUCACAAAGGACCUGGAGAGCCUGUGGAUUUCAGAGCAGGUCAGACAAGGACUGCCUGGGGCACUUGGAGGAACUGGAAGUACGGGGCCUUGCCUGGCUGCAAACGACACCUACAGUCUGCAUCCUGGCCCGGUUGACAGCCUCAUUGACAGACAGAAGAUCAGUCUCUGAUCCAAAGCAGUUCAAGCCUGGAUUCCUCCACAUUGUUCCCCACCCCCACCUUGGCCUCUACGAAAACUGGAAGCUUCUCCAGCAUCUCUUCAGCCUUGACCCAGGUCUGCAAUCUACCCUUCCCGUGAGGGUGGAGCAGGCCUAGGUGGAGUGGGGAGUGGGGACACACCUCAGCCCAGGUCACACAGCUGCCCUCCUGCUAUGAGGACGUGGGAUCCUGCUGGGGACUCCAGCUAAUUGGGGACCCCGACCCAGGCUGAAGAAGAGAUGAGGUGCCCGGUUAACUGGAAACCAGCCCUGACCGAGAGUUGGGCUCUGUAGCUCUUAAGUUUGGAUGGGGAGGAGGAACUUGGAG
Long non-coding RNA from Bos taurus (domestic cattle), 713 nucleotides. The record is from Ensembl. NCBI's taxonomy places the organism in Eukaryota, Metazoa, Chordata, Mammalia, Artiodactyla, Bovidae.